This 333-nucleotide long non-coding RNA is filed under the name Homo sapiens (human). RNAcentral's name for it is "long non-coding RNA NONHSAT223984". The record is from RNAcentral. Lineage: Eukaryota; Metazoa; Chordata; Mammalia; Primates; Hominidae.
UGGAUCCGCCCUCCAUCUAUUGGAUGGCUCCCAGGCCAAUUGUUAGAAAGAGGCAUAUGUUCAUCUCGGCUUCUGGAGUGUCUCCGGAGCAGUUGCUCAACAGCCAGCCCCCUCCCCCAUCCGGACCAUUGAAGGGCAGAAAAAGGAGCGCCCUCCACCACAUUUCUCUGUGCCCACAUGCCAGAAAGGGUCUCCCCCCUGGUGACUUCCUGUCAUCUCCACUGCUUACCUCCUGGGGAGCAGGAACGAGAGGGGCUUCAAGCACUCAGCUUUGAAGCACAAAAGCCACCCCUUUCCUUUUUGGGGAGAUGGGAGAGGAGGUUAGUUGCAGAG